This is a non-coding RNA of Rattus norvegicus (Norway rat), 1377 nucleotides long. The record is from RefSeq and is a predicted model, not a curated record. NCBI's taxonomy places the organism in Eukaryota, Metazoa, Chordata, Mammalia, Rodentia, Muridae.
UAAAAAGCAGACCCUUCCUGACCCUCGUCCCUUCUACUCUUUUCCCCCUCUGUCUGUCACCCCCUUUUGUUCCCUUCCCCCACAGCAAACCUCUGUCACGUGGAACUGCACUGGCCUGGUGUGGCCUGUCCGGAUGCGAGCCGCGAUUCUGUCACAACACUUAAUCCCACAGGAGUGUCAACAAAACUUUCCUGGUGAAUUCCCAUUUGGUUCCCAACACCUACUUUAGUAUUUUAUUUGAUAGACAUGCCUAAUUUAAAAUGCACUUGAGCAGGUAAGAUGGCUUAGAUAGGAUUUAUGUAGCCCAAGAUGGCUUCGAACUCACUACAUAAUCGCCAAUGACCUCGAAUGUCUGGUGUUCCUGCCUCCACACCCCAAAGGCUGAGAUUACAGGCAUAACCACGCAAAGUUUAUGUGGUGCUAGGAGUCAAACUCAGGGCUUCAUAAACGCGGGACAAGCGCUAUACCAAGUAAGUUACAUCUCCAGUCCUUCUGUUCCUUUUACCAGCCCUUUGCUAACAACCUCUCUGGCUGACCUAGCACCCUCUUUUUUUUUUUCCCCCGGAGCUGGGGCAAGCGCUCUACCACUGAGCUAAAUCCCCAACCCCUGACCUAGCACCCUCUUAACUUUUGGUCUAUAGAGACAAACUUAAACUGCCUACCUUCCCUGGCUUAGCCUGCAGCUAAAAUGUGCUGACAACACGUAAAUCCUAAGAAUGCCUUCACCUUCCUGUAGCCUCCUACCUCAUGACCCCAGCGAUGUAUUUCGCAAGUACAUUAAUGCCUGACUCCAGAAGCUUAAUUCCGUCUAUGGUAAAAGGCCUUCCAGGGUAACUUGAAUCCAUGUUCACCCAUACUUGGCUCAGAAGAAACAAUCUUCAUAUUUCCUGCCCAUACGACCUUGACACUUGCUACAGUGAGAGAGCAAAGAGAUCAUAAAAGAAUGCCCUUGUUACGGGAGAAGAAAACAAAGACUGUUUACAGGGUCAGGCAAAUAUUCAAGCCAGUUCCAAAUCAACCAGAACUACAUUGUGAGAUCCAGUCGCCUCAAAACAGAGUAAUAAACUAGAAGUGUCACCUGACUUAAGAAACUCUUUAAAGACACGGUAAAAGGCUUCGGAAAUACUACCGAGAAAAGGCAGCUGGAGAGACGGCUCGGCAGUUAAGGGCAUGUACUGUUCUCCAGAGGAGCCAAGUUCAGUCCCUAGCAUGCAUGUUGGGCAACAGCCUGGAACUCUAGCAGUGGGGGACCUAACACCAUCUUCUGGCCUCCAGCGACAAUCAUAUGUUCAAACUCCUUUUCCUGCCCUGCUCACAUAAUUUUGAAAUAAAUCAUUAAAAAGGGAGAAAGAAGUUCAUUACAAAAUGCUAUAAAAA